GCAAGUCGGACGGGAGUCCGGAAGGUAGCAAUAUCGGCCGGUGAGAGUGGCGGAAGGGCGAGGAACACGUGGGCAACCUGGUCCUUGAGGUGGGGAAAACCGGCUGGAAACGGCGGCUAAUACCGGAAUGUGGCGCGGGAGGGCAUCCUUCCAGCGCUAAAGGGGGCGAAAGCUCCCCCUCUUCGAGGGGCUCGCGCACCAUCAGCUGUUGGCGGGGUAACGGCCCACCAAGGCUCACGGUUAGCUGGUCUGAGAGGAUGGCCAGCCGCACUGGGACUGAGAUACUGCCCAGACUCCUACGGGAGGCUGCAGUCGAGGAUCAUUCGCAAUGGGGGAAACCCUGACGAUGCGACGCUGCCGUGGAGGAUGAAGGCCCUCGGGUCGUAAACUCCUGUCAUGGGGGAAAAGGCGAGGGGACCCAACACGUCCCUUAGUUGAUGGUACCCCAAGAGGAACGGGCGGCUAACUCUGUGCCAGCCGCAGC
Molecule: ribosomal RNA, 484 nt
Filed under: uncultured bacterium
Lineage: Bacteria
Description: bacterial SSU rRNA
Rfam family: Bacterial small subunit ribosomal RNA
Source: RNAcentral